CARMSGMGGYRMWUYCAGCUCCAAUAGCGUAUAUUAAAGUUGUUGCAGUUAAAAAGCUCGUAGUUGAAUCUCGGGAUUGACACAUCGGUCGUGCCUUAAGGGGUAUGAACUGGUGUAGUCAAUUUCUCACCUUCUGGAGAACCGCGAUGCCCUUAAUUGGGUGUCACGGGGAACCAGGACCUUCACUUUGAAAAAAUUAGAGUGUUUAAAGCAGGUAUUUUGCUUGAAUACAUUAGCAUGGAAUAAUAAAAUAGGACGGCAUGAUUCUAUUUUGUUGGUUUCUAGGAUCACCGUAAUGAUUAAUAGGGAUAGUUGGGGGCAUUAGUAUUCAAUUGUCAGAGGUGAAAUUCUUGGAUUUAUUGAAGACUAACUACUGCGAAAGCAUUUGCCAAGGAUGUUUUCAUUAAUCAAGAACGAAAGUUAGGGGAUCGAAGACGAUCAGAUACCGUCGUAGUCUUAACCAUAAACUAUGCCGACUAGGAAUCAGACGAUGUUAWUUUWKYMMUGACUCGUUCGGCGCCUUACGGGAAACAAAAAUCCC
RNAcentral lists this ribosomal RNA (541 nucleotides) under Entrophospora sp. RNAcentral's name for it is "partial small subunit ribosomal RNA". The record is from RNAcentral. Lineage: Eukaryota; Fungi; Glomeromycota; Glomeromycetes; Entrophosporales; Entrophosporaceae.